RNAcentral lists this unclassified non-coding RNA (100 nucleotides) under Oryza sativa (Asian cultivated rice). RNAcentral describes it as "partial microRNA MIR468k precursor". The record is from RNAcentral. Lineage: Eukaryota; Viridiplantae; Streptophyta; Magnoliopsida; Poales; Poaceae.
GAUGUGACACAUUCUAGUACUACAAAUCUAGACAUACAUAUGUCUAAAUUCAUCGUACUAAAAUAUAUCACAUCCGAUCCUAGAUUCAUUUUUUAGGGAC